RNAcentral lists this ribosomal RNA (421 nucleotides) under uncultured bacterium. RNAcentral's name for it is "bacterial SSU rRNA". It matches the Rfam family "Bacterial small subunit ribosomal RNA", at positions 361 to 774 of the family's 1533-position model. The record is from RNAcentral.
AUCUUCCGCAAUGGGCGAAAGCCUGACGGAGCAACGCCGCGCGAGUGAUGAAGGGUUUCGGCUCGUAAAACUCUGUUAUUAGGGAAGAACAACUGUGUAAGUAACUGUGCACAUCUUGACGGUACCUAAUCAGAAAGCUACGGCUAACUACGUGCCAGCAGCCGCGGUAAUACGUAGGUGGCAAGCGUUAUACGGAACUAUGGGGCGUAAAGCGCGCGUAGGCGGUUUCUUAAGUCUGAUGUGAAAGCCCACGGCUCAACCGUGGAGGGUCAUUGGAAACUGGGAAACUUGAGUGCAGAAGAGGGAAGUGGAAUUCCAUGUGUGGCGGUGAAAUGCGCAGAGAUAUGGAGGAACACCAGUGGCGAAGGCGACUUUCUGGUCUGUAACUGACGCUGAUGUGCGAAAGCGUGGGGAUCAAACA